GAUGAACGCUGGCGGCGUGCUUAACACAUGCAAGUCGAACGAAGCACCUCUCCCGAAGAUUGACACAGCUUGCUGUAGAUUGAUUCAUUUGAGGUGACUGAGUGGCGGACGGGUGAGUAACGCGUGGGUAACCUGCCUCAUAGAGGGGGACAACAGUUGGAAACGACUGCUAAUACCGCAUAGUAAGAAGAAUUCGCAUGUUUUCUUCUUGAAAGAUUUAUCGCUAUGAGAUGGACCCGCGUCUGAUUAGCUAGUUGGCAAGGUAACGGCUUACCAAGGCGACGAUCAGUAGCCGGCAUGAGAGAGGGAACGGCCACAUUGGGACUGAGACACGGCCCAAACUCCGACGGGAGGCAGCAGUGGGGAAUAUUGCACAAUGGGGGAAACCCUGAUGCAGCGACGCCGCGUGAGUGAAGAAGUAUUUCGGUAUGUAAAGCUCUAUCAGCAGGGAAGAUAAUGACGGUACCUGACUAAGAAGCCCCGGCUAACUACGUG
This 495-nucleotide ribosomal RNA is filed under the name uncultured bacterium. RNAcentral describes it as "partial 16S ribosomal RNA". It matches the Rfam family "Bacterial small subunit ribosomal RNA", at positions 28 to 507 of the family's 1533-position model. The record is from RNAcentral.